UGCGUAGGCGGAAUAUUAAGUCAGUGGUGAAAUCCUGCAGCUCAACUGUAGAACUGCCAUUGAUACUGAUAUUCUUGAAUGUAGUUGAGGUAGGCGGAAUGUGUAAUGUAGCGGUGAAAUGCUUAGAUAUUACACAGAACACCGAUUGCGAAGGCAGCUUACUAAACUAUGAUUGACGCUGAGGCACGAAAGCGUGGGGAGCGAGCAGGAUUAGAUACCCUGGUAGUCC
This 229-nucleotide ribosomal RNA is filed under the name uncultured bacterium. RNAcentral describes it as "partial 16S ribosomal RNA". It matches the Rfam family "Bacterial small subunit ribosomal RNA", at positions 568 to 796 of the family's 1533-position model. The record is from RNAcentral.